Xiphophorus hellerii (green swordtail) is the source of this 1185-nucleotide long non-coding RNA. RefSeq lists it as uncharacterized. NCBI's taxonomy places the organism in Eukaryota, Metazoa, Chordata, Actinopteri, Cyprinodontiformes, Poeciliidae. The transcript has 4 exons. The record is from RefSeq and is a predicted model, not a curated record.
UAAAACUUGAUUGAUUGGUUUGAAAUAGAAUUCAAACACUGAAACAGUUUGAGCUUCAACACUGAGCUGCUGUGGGAAAUGUUAACAGAUUUGCAGAUUUGCUAAGAACCAAUCUUCAGUCUUGUUUGGUCUUUUUCCAGCAGUCUUCACUCCUGCAGCACCUCAGCUCCCAUCCAGUCACUAUGUUCCUGUGGUCGUUGGUGUGACUCUGGCUGCCAUGAUGGUUCUGAUCCCAGCAGCUCUACUGGUUUCCUGCAGGAGAAGAUCUCUGAGAGAUUCAAGGAGGAGAGGAGACGAUGGAAUAAAGAUGGAGAACGUCGGCUAUGAGAACGUUUCCUCUCAGGACUCAACCUACCAGAGUCUCAGUCCUGCUACCACAGACCAGAACCAGAUCUACUCUACGCCCACACAGCCCAGAUGAGACCCUGGACUCAGGUUCUGGACUCAGGUUCUGGACUCAGGUUCUGGAUCUCAUGACUGCAGUUUGUUCAGUGAAUCUGAAACCAGAAGAAAGUUGGAUUUAGAAACUGAGCCUCAGUCUUUACUCUGUAUUUGCUUCAGCUGCUUAUAAUCGCAGAUUAGAUUUUUUUAAAGUUGGAAUAUUUUUAAAGCUGUUUUUUUAUGAAGAUAAAUUGCUGAUUUGCUUGAAUUGAAAUUUUGCAGCAGAAAAACAAUUGUGUUUAAUUCCUGAGGAAAGUUUGUUUUUCUAUUUUCAUUGAUUUUUGCGUAUCCUUAAGAGCUGUUAUGUUGGACAGUGCAUGUGCAAUAACACCUUCACCAUAUUUAGCUGUAACAUAAGUUAAGCAGGAAGUACAAAUCAUAACACCAACUCCUUCAGCACUGUUCUGUCCUGUAGAGCCAUAAGCUUCACUCAGUUAACUCAACUUUAACUUGUUCUAAGAAAACUGCAGCAUCAUCAGUUGAUUUAAAACCCUAACUUAUGGUUUCAAAGUGCAGCAUAAUUUUCCCUACUAUUACGGAUGGAAAGAGGUCUGUAAAACAAGUCCAGACCAUGUUUUACAGACCACUCAGUACUGGAGACUCAGUGACUCAGGGAGGCAAAAAAUACAAUAGAAAAGGUGAUUUCUCUGCUGCUGCGGUCGACCAAUCAGAUGUUUAGGUUUUAGGUCUUUAGUAACACACAAGACGAGUUUAAGUUAUUUCAUUUUUUACUUUAGAACAUGA